CUUCAGGUGGAGACCCAAACGCAUGAUUUGUGUAACUGUGUAUUUAGAUGCUGUAUGUGUGAUGAUGUUCAUGCAAAGUUUAAAUGAGAUUGGGCCACCUGUUGGGGAGUAGAGAGGGUACACACAGACUUAAACAAAUACAUAUGCAACAAGAAUAUUAUUUUUAUUAUUAAUAUUUUAUAUUGUAUUUUUAUUAGUACAUUUUCAAAACUUUAAAUUCCAGUUGAGAAAUAUUAAAAGCAGACAUUUUAAUCAUUUCUCGGCUUGACGUCGCUCUUCAGCAUAUCCAUGAACAGCAUGAACACACUGCUCUAAAUGUUUCUGUCCAAUCAGGCACUAAAACUAUCCAGUCAUGAAGCUUCAGGAACAAACAAAUCAAACCAGUUAGAUACGGCCUGAGUGAAUCUGGGCUCAGUCUGUCUUGAGUUUCUGUGCAGGGUAACCAAUCAGAUGUUAGGUAUCAUCUGAUGAUGCGCAAUAAAAAUGAUUAUUGAUUAAUUAUCUUAUGAUGCAGAUACAGGCACCAUAAAAUAAUUAUCUUAAAUGAAAUUAAUUAUGCAUUUAAUACAUUUAUUUUCAUUAAUUAAUAUUGUGUAUUUAUUGACACUUUUGAUGAACUAAUUGUGCACGCAGUUAUUUCAUUCUGGCACUCUCGGCGCUCCAUACCUCUCUGCCUCCAUCCCUGCACUGCAGUGUUUUUCCAGCAGAUGUCGGCAGCAGAAAGCCCAGUUAGUGCUUCUGUGCUGGUGUUUGUCUCCACCGGGACAGCUGUUGUCGGAGGUUCUGUUUCUUUAAGGCCGGUUCGUUUACAGCUCACACACGGCUGACGAUCGGCGCCUGCUCAGUGCGUCUUCUCCGCUGCUUGGAUCGCGGACCUGGAGGGUUUCUGCCCCGUCCGUGUGCUCCUGUGUGCGCGUAUGUGUGUGCUGUGUCUGAUGGUAACCCAUGGAUUGACGGAGGGGGAGGCUAUUGUUACCAGCCCGGUGGCUUGUUCUGCUGCAGCUGCACUUUCAGCAGAGAAUGCCCAAAGCAAACGGAGCGGUAACUGCACGGAUAGCGCAGGAAUACACCAGAGAAUCAAGUGUGUCCGGAUCAUCACUCCAGGCCUGUCACUGGUGUAGAGCCAAACAGAGGAUGCAGAUUAAGCUGGAUUAAUACCUCUGCUUCUUUGUUUGAUGAUGAAGCAUCAGUCAGAAUCCAGCUUCAGCUGGGUGAGGUUCAUUUUUUAAAAGUGGCUCAGAUAGAUUAUGCUAGGCCAUACUGGUAAUUGUACUACAUUGCAUUUUGUGCAUUGUCAUUACAAAGCAGGUUAACAUUGCUAAUUGAGCAGUGAAGUAAAGUGAGGCUUCAGCUGGUCUCCCAGGACCCAUGCUUCUUGUUGCACCUUGCCUUGUGGCAAAUACCAAACCAAACCAUGCAGUUCCUUCGCAAUUUACGAUGUAGAUUAUGAUGUCACUUAAAUUGUAAUUUAUGACCUUUCACAUAACCUGACAUGCACCUCCAGAGAACUAGACAUAAGAAAGCCAGUUGGAUGCACAAAAGGUGUCAGCUGACAGGUCAUGUGGGCUGGGACUGAAAUAAACUAAUGUUAGUACUUUAUCUCAAACCAGUGAUUUAUGGCCCCUGUCGAAUGAUUUAGGAAGUAAUAAAAGUUAAUGGCAGUCAUAAAACUAUCAUAAAAUUAUGAUAUUUCAUAACUCGGUAAUAAUCAAUUAUCAGAUGCCCAAAAAUAUAUGAUCAUGAAAAUAUGGUGAUGGACGAGGAUGAUGAAGAGGUGGUUUGAGAUAGAAAUGAAAACUAUGGAAUAAUUCAUAUUUUUGUGCUAAUGUGAUUUCAAACCAAAAAGUUUACUUUUUAGACAAAAUGUCACCUUGGCAGGAGCCUGUGUGUGUGUGUGUGUGUGUGUAUGUGUGUGUGUGUGUGUGUGUGUGUCUGGUGCUUUUGUAAGGAUGAGGGGAGUUGGAGGCUGCGUGCCCCGAUAGAAAGCUUUAUUACAUUUUGUUUGUGUUUGUUUAAUCCCAAAAAGGAAAAUCAGAAUCAAAGUUAAACUUACAAACGCUCCACAGACCCCGAGAGAGUCAGGUGUGACUUUGCACAUGGGUCAGUGUGGGUAAAAUUCUCUCUGACUCAAGGUGCGACCCCGAGAUGGAGCUCCUCCCCGAUCCACCAAUGAAACCAUUUAAAACAGAGGUGGCCCUAGCGAGAAAAACCUCUGAUCAGUACAGCAAUUUCAGAAAGGCAGGCUCUCGCUUCAGCCACUAAGAGACCGGGGGACAGUUUUGAUCUGACCAAUGAGCCGAAUUUACAGCCUUCUGACGAGUAAAGCGUGCAGUUUUUGAAACCAACCAAGACAGCUUUGCAGAUGCUGCAGAAAUACACAAGUCCUUACCAGCUGCCCCGCAUGAAUAAAGUUUUCCAUCGCUGCGCGCAGCCUCCAAAGUAUAAAUUAUUAUUCCAUAGUUUGGAAUAAUAAAACCACCUCUUCAUCAUCCUCGUCCAUCACCAUAUUUUCAUGAUCAUAUAUUUUUGGGCAUCUGA
Molecule: long non-coding RNA, 2538 nt
Organism: Oreochromis niloticus (Nile tilapia)
Lineage: Eukaryota; Metazoa; Chordata; Actinopteri; Cichliformes; Cichlidae
Source: Ensembl